Ornithorhynchus anatinus (platypus) is the source of this 917-nucleotide long non-coding RNA. RefSeq lists it as uncharacterized. The transcript has 3 exons. Lineage: Eukaryota; Metazoa; Chordata; Mammalia; Monotremata; Ornithorhynchidae. The record is from RefSeq and is a predicted model, not a curated record.
CUGGGGGCCCAUUGAAGUAGCACAGAAGAAGGCAUGCAGUGGGGUAGAAGCAUGCAGAGAAGCAAGAAGGAAGGAUGCUGAGAGCAGCACUUGUCAGCAGCACAUGGAAGCAGAAGGAAAAAGCUUUGGCAGACUGGGCUCCUUUGAUCACAGACUGGCAUUGUAUCCUUGGAUUGGAGUUAGUGUAUGUUCAGAAUGGUUUGCUUUUCAUUCAGACCUUCUGCAAAGAAUAAACAUGACUCCUCCUGAAACAGAAAACUCAAAGGUUAUCUCUUGUCUUCAUCUGUGUUCCUUAGAAGCAUACAGUGGAAAACAAUAUUAAUUGGCAUUCAGGAAUCCCAUCUACCAGCUGCCAAGGACAACAUGUGGAAGAAGGUUACAAAGUGAACAUGCACAAGCAUUUCAUACCAUCAAAACUACAAAGCAGUUUGCCUGACUGUCGACAAUGCCUUUCUGCUAUUAUGGCUUCAUGUUUUUUUCAUUAUAUCACACAAAUAAUGGCUCACUGCAACCACCAUGAUAAGAUUACUCACCUUUUAUUUAUUGACUUCAUUUUAGAAGGGCAGGACUGAAGAAUAUUUUCUCUGCCAAAGACCUACUGUACUCUGCCUGCAAAAUGGAAUAGCAGUGUAAUCUAGAGAAAUAAAUGGCUAAGUUUUUUCGACAGCCACAAUGAGAAACAAAAAGUAAAAAAAAAAAAGUAUCUUUUUGGAAUAAAGACCAACAUUUAAAGGAAAAAGAGCAAAAAACAUUGUCAUUUAGGAAGCAUUGUAUUACUAUGAAAACAUGCCAAGGGGUAACUACCAAAAGACAAAUCAUGUAUAUAGAUAACCAUAGGGAAGGAUUAACAUGAGGUGAUCAGAGGCUGAAGUCCGGGGGACUAGACUAAGUGGAGUGGACAUCCACAACAUGACUAU